UCAAGGACCCUUCAAAACACACGACGUUCCUGCCCCAGGCAAAAAGCCCAGUUACCUCUGGCCACUGCAGUUUGGCUCAUCACCAGGGAACCUUUGCCUCCUCCAAGACCAAGGCACCGCUCCAGUAACAGGAGCCAACUGAAGCUUGGAACUCCAAGGAAUGCUAAAGCUAUAGCCCGAGGACCUCUGGGGCCAUAUCUCCCAGGAAGAUCUUGCCUCCUCACUGAAGCUCCUGGCCUGGCUCCUGCAGUGCCACACUCCGUGUAUUUGACAAGCUGAGUUGGACACUCCAUGUGGUAGAGUGUCAGUUUGUCAAAUACCCCAAGUGCGGCAUAUGCCUAACAGCUCCAAGCCAGAGCAGUUGGGAUACAACAAAUAAAUUGUCAGCUGAAUACAAGAUCACUCUCCAAACACAAACUAAACUUUCACAGGUUAUUUUCAGUGACUUGAGGGAACUGAAGCAUUGUAUCUGAGGGUGCCAGGGGAAAAAUGAGGCAACUCUUGAAGCCACAGAUCUGGAAUGUUUCUAUACACAUUGUCAGAUCCCAAGCAGGACAUAAUGGUCUUAAAAAGCAUUAUUUACACUAGCCAAGAUAUGGAAGCAACAUAAGUGUCCAUGGAUAGACAAAUGGAUACGGAAAAAGUGGUGUAUAUAUGUACAAUGGAAUGUUAAAUAGCCAUAAAAGAGGAUACAAUCAAGCCAUUUGAGACAACAUGGAUGGACAUAGAGGAUAUUAUGGUAAGUGAAAUAAGUCAGACUGAGAAAGACAAAUACCAUAUGAUUUCACUCAUAUGGUAUCUAAAAAUGAAUUUAAAAAAGCAGAAUUAAAUGUAUAGACACAGAGAACAAACUGAUGGUUGCCAGAGGGUAGGAGUGUGGGAAGAUGGGAAAAAUGUGUGAAGAGGAAUGGGAGAUACAGGCUUCCAGUUAGGAAAUAAAAGAGGAUAAAAGCACAGUAAAAGGAAUGUAGUUAAUGAUAUUGUAAUAGUGAUGUAAUAGUAGCUGCACUUGUAGUGAACAUAGCAUAAUGUAUAAACAUGUCAAUUCACUAUGUUGUGCACCUGAAAUAAUGUAACACUGUGUGUCAACUAUACAAAAAAAAAAAAAGAAAGAAAGAAAAUAACAACAACAAAAAUAGAUUCCAAAGGGUGUCCGGGAGCUAAUAAAGAUUCAAACAUAAGAGACAAUUAGAUGUAAUGGAAAGAGUAUGCCAUCUUCAUGCAAGUUCCAACUUGAACUUUCUAUCUGUGAGCUCCUGGGCAAAUAUAUUUCCCUUUCUGAUUUUCCAUUUCUUCCAUAAAAUUAGGCUGAUGAUAGCUAUCUCAUGAGAUAGAUGUGGGAAUCAAUUAUAAAAUGUCUGUUGAGUUCUUGUGAAUUGUGUCUGCAAAAUAUGAAUUACCUAGUGAAUGUCACUUUCCCCAUUACCCUCUUUGUCUUCUUAACCCACAACAUGACAGGCAUUGUCUCCAGCCUUGUGAUUAUCAGUUCAGAAUUUUUCUUUCUCUGUGAUUGCACAACCCAGGACACCACCCCCCUCCAUACACACAAACUGUCUUCUAUGGAAUAAAGAUAUCUCCAUUACAAGGACUGUAAUUGAAAGGAUCUCCAAAAGAAAGGAUUGCUCACCUUUGACCACAAACUUCACAAUGUCACUGCGCUGCUCAGAUCCUACCCGGCCCUUGGCAGUACAGAAAUAGGAGCCGGAGUCAGCCACCACAGCAUGCUUGAAGAGUAAGGUUUCACCAAAGGUACAUUGGAAAAUCCCAUCCCAAGGGGUAAUGGAGAGGAAAAUGUCUGGAGAAGAAAAGGAUAUGAAUAAGAUCCUAGAGCUGGCUAUGAAGUCCUCUAUAUGUCUUCUCCAGAGGAAAGAUUAAUUAGAUUAUAUCAUUUUCAGUUUUAAUGAUGACCUGAAGAAGGAGUUAGCACAUGAGAAGGUAAGCGGCUGCCCUCACCAACCUGGGGGAGCCUACCAAGUUAUGAGCAGGAAAUAGGCCAUCUAUGGAUUGUAAGGAGCCAGAAAGGAUAAAGUAGCCUGUAUAAAUAUCAACAGGACUUGUUUGGAAGCCAAUGUGAAAUGUUGAUCAAAUUAAGCAAUAUAGAUGACUUUCCUGGAAGACUGGGUAGGGAAAAUCUAUUUCAGGAAACUCUCACCUCCUGGGGGAAUGCUCUGCCUUUUAUGGAUCCGUGAAAACCACCAAAUGGCAAAGCACUUGCUUUGACAGGGAUUGAGGUACCAGGAAGUAUAGAAUUUGAGACUUUUAGAAUGGCAUAGCUGCAAGAGCUUUUGGUUGCAUUUCCUCAUGGUACAUGUAGGAAAGCCAAGAGAAAGAAAGAUGCUUAUCUAAAAGUUACACAGAAAGCAGGGGCUGAACUGGGCCUAGGGAUUUAAGAAGAAAGGCUUUCGGAUGCUACACUGCCUUCUUACCUUAUUAAACCACUAGCCACAACUGAAAUUAGUAACCCUUACUUGACAUGGUUUAAAGUUGCUUGAUUUGACUUGCUGAAAAAAAAAAUUCCAUCUGCUGGCUAUUUUCUGAAAAGUGUUUCCCAGGCCUUCAGAGUCUUACUCUGUUUUCUCAGGGAAAAACUGAAUUUUCUCUAAAUAUUAUCCCUCUACAGGAGAAAGACCUGGGCUAGGCAUUGACUCAAGGGGCUUUGUUGAAAAGAGUUUAAUUUGAGAAACAGGGGACAAUACUUGUUCUAGGAACUGGACUUAGAAAAGCAAAAUGCAGGGCCUGUAUAAUAGUCCUAAAUAAAGGAAAAGCUUAGUUUUCUGGGCAAGAGUUCCUUUAUAGGGCAAUGUUAGGUCCUUUUUUAAAUCUUCCUCCUCUCACCAUCACACAGAGAGUGGGAUCUUCCCAUAACCCCACACCCCCAUGUGUGGCCUCUUUCCCUCUCUUGGGUUGUCUCCUGGCUUAGAUAAUAGCUGUUAAUAAAAUGUUUAUAAUGUUUAUAAAGUGAAAAUAUUUAUUAUUAUUAUUAUUAUCAUUAUUAUUAUUAUUUCAACAUGUGUCUUUGACCCAGCAGCUGAUUCUGGCCCCUAGAGGCCCUAUAAGGCCAGCCAAACUGAUAUAAUCACUGUACAGUAGGCUGGAGACACUGAGAUCCAGGGAGAGGGAAGGUGUUAUUGGCCAUUCAGUAUGUCCUGAGAUCUAGAUCUAUAGUGUUAAACACUCCACACAAAAGAAAGUUCUGCUUCCAUGUCUAGAGGACCUCACAGGCAGAAGAAGGAACAAUAUACAUGAGAGUACUCACGUGAACAGACACAACUUAACUUUAACAUGUACAGAAUGUUACCCUGAGCCCGAGUCCUGCUUCUGUAAGUCUCUGCUAAAAACAACAGAUUUGGAGAAGGUAGAAAGGUGUACUCUAAAACCUGGCAGAUGAUGAAAUAUUGCCAUUUUUAAAAAGCACUAUUAUUUAGGAAAAUUAACUCUGCCACUAAUGCUCUGUGGCCUGGAGCACAUUCUUGUCCUCUCAGGUAACUCGAUUUAGUAUCUCUUUUAGCUUUGAGGCUCUAGAUCCCGAUGGGUCACAAAGGCCCAGGAUAGAUUAGCAUAAUUUGAGUCUGUUAUGAAAAACUGAGUUCUUCCUGACCACAAAGGGACACCAACCUAACAUCCAUCCAUCCUCUCCCUCUAAAGAUAUGGAACAAGCAGAGAUGCAGCAAGAACCGAUUUGCCCUAUCUUGGGUUUCACUUAUCUAUUACUCAUGCUUAGUUACCUAAAAGUCUGUCUCAAUUCUCAGGGAUAUAAAUGAGAAUGGGGGAAUACCCAAGGAAAUAAUGCUUCUAUGGGAUAGCCAGACUUCUUUUAGGAUAUAUACCCAGCAUUAAUUUCCCCCAAGUAGCCUGGACAAACUGGGCCAUAUUCACAGGGAAAGGAGCUACCGCAAGAGGUGGUAAGAAACCACCAAGUCCUAUGAAUAGCAAUUGAAGAAGCUAGGGCUUGUUUAUUUUGGAGAAGAGAUAAAUCAAAGGGACAUGGUGUCUGUCCUCAGAACUCUAAAGGGCUGUCACAACAUCAAGGGAGUAGAUAUGUUCUUUGUGUCUCCAAGAAAUAGAGCUGGGGCUUUAGGAUGGAAGUCACAAGGAAGUGGAUUUAGUUCAACACAAGGAAGAACUUCUAACAUUUGGAACUACUCUUGCACAGACUAGAUAGUCUGGGGAAGUGGUAAACUCUCAAUGUCUGGAAUUAUGUAAACAGAUAUUUUGAGCACUUGUUCAUAACUAUGAAAAAUGGGUCUAGAUUACUUUUAAGAUCCUAUAUAACUCUUGGACAACAUUCCUUCCUUGAAGCUUAUAUAUCUUAACAGGGAUCAAGACCUAGAAAUAGAGAAGUUAAGGUAUAAUGGCAGAAUUUCAGGUGAAAGAAGAUGGAGGAAGGAUUUGGGUGGCAUUGGGCACCUUCUUAAUGUCCCUGAGAUAUGACAAGUACUAGAAAAUCAUGUGGAUAUUUUUGAGAGGAUCCUUUUUAAUUUCUACCCAAACUUACCUUCUAGCUUCUUCAGUAGUCUUCAGCUGCCCCAAACUGAGAGAGUCUGUAGCACUGUUUGAGAAUACUCACCUAUUCAGCAGGAAUAGGCUUUCCUCAGUGGCCAUUCAAUCCCCACACCCCAGCCUUUUGCCUGUGACAGCAGUAGCGGCCAGAUAGCAAUUUCCUUCCUUACCAUAGGUGACCAUUGUUAGGUGGCCCAGGAGCAGGAGGUCCAGUAAGAGCCUCAUCACAGCUUUAGACAGUUUUUUCCUUUAUUCCAGCCUCCUGCUGUCAAAGGCUUGAACUUAUGAUGGCUGUCAGCUUCUGUGCCUGCUUACUUCCCUUCCUUCUCUAUAUCUCUCACUUGGACUCCCAGUCUCAUCUCACAUUCUCCUUCCUUCCCUAUUUCAGCACAAGUCAUGUGAGUACUCCCUCCCUCCCCUGCCUGGUAUUGGAGGUUCAGGGUGAGUGAAGCAAUUCCUCCCCCUGUUAGGGUAUUGAUUUGACUUUCCCUGGAGCCAAUAAGGCUUUCUGGUCUUUGAUCUCCCAGGAUGUAUUUAUUUUGUGUUUCUUCCACAAGACUCUGAGGCUGGGGAUGACCUUUGGGUAUGAGUUUUCUCCCUCUACUAUAGAGAUAUUUUCCUUUCUGGUAGGCCCAGGGAGGAGAGAUCAACAUUACUGGCCUAUGCAAUAUUUAGCAGUCAUACCUUUAACUCCUGCCUGAUACGCCUGUGCAAACGAACAGAGUUUUGGCAGUGGGUGCCUGUGGGCUUCAGAGUACAAGAGAUUAAAUGUAUGAAAGAGAUUUCUGUAAAUCAAAACGAGUUUAUAGAUGUGAAGAUAAAGAAAUUUCCUGGGAAACAUGCACAGCCUUUCUCUGGGGAAGAAUUCCUGUCCUACAGUUGAGAUCAGUAACCCUGAGAAGAACACUGAAGGGGAAGUCAAGAAGCCUAGUUCUGCAUCUACUUCAUUCUGAGCAUUUGAGCAAGUUAAAUCUGAACUUCAGCUUCCCCAAUUGUAACAUGAGCGCUAUUAGACUUGAUGUUUACGUAGUUUCUGAUUUUUAAAAAUCAAACUGCACCAUACAUACAAUAACGACUAUAACAAUGAUAGCUAAUACUUCUUGAUCAUUUACUCUUCCAUGAACUGUACUAAGCACUUUUUUGGAUUAUAUCAUUUGGUACUUUCAUGGUGGGUAUUGCACUUACUCUUAUGUCUCUUCUGUUGCUCUUUUAUUUUUCCCCCCUCAAGCACAGAGGCAUAUUUAAUAAAAAAUAUUGUUUUCUUUCCUUUUUUUCCAAUUUUUGUUUUAAUUCCAUUUAGUUAAUAUAUGGUGUUAUAUUAGUUUCAUGUGGAUAAUAGUGUGAUUCAACACUUCCAUAAGACAUCUGGUGCUCAUCACAGCAAGUGCACUCCUUAAUCCUCAUCACCUAUUUAAUGCUGCCUCACCCAACUCCCCUUUAGUAACCAUCAGUUUCUCCUCUAUAAUUGAGUCUGCUUCUAGAUUUCUUUCUCUUUCCCUUUGCUUGUUUUACUUUUUGUUUCUUUAAUUCCACAUAUGAGCAAAAUCAUAUUGUAUUUGUCUUUAUCUGACUUAUUUCACUUAGCAUUAUACUCUCUAGCUCUAUCCAUGUCAUUGCACGUGACAAGGGACAUUUCAUUCUUCCUUAUGGAUGAAUAAUAUUCCAUUGUGGAUAUAUGGAUAUAUAUCACAUCUUCUUUAUCCAUUCCUCAAUCAAUGAAUACUUAGGUUGCUUCCAUAUCUUGACUAUUGUAAAUAAUACUGUUAUAAAUAUAGGGGUGCAUAUGUCCCUUCAAAUUGAUGUUUUUAUAUUGUUUGGGUAAAUACCCAGUAGUGCAAUUUCUGGAUCCUAGGGUAGUUCUAUUUUU
Long non-coding RNA from Panthera uncia (snow leopard), 6367 nucleotides. RefSeq lists it as uncharacterized. The transcript has 7 exons. The record is from RefSeq and is a predicted model, not a curated record. Lineage: Eukaryota; Metazoa; Chordata; Mammalia; Carnivora; Felidae.